Molecule: ribosomal RNA, 404 nt
Filed under: Actinomycetes bacterium
Lineage: Bacteria; Bacillati; Actinomycetota; Actinomycetes
Description: Actinobacteria bacterium partial 16S ribosomal RNA
Rfam family: Bacterial small subunit ribosomal RNA
Source: RNAcentral
UGGGGAAUAUUGGACAAUGGGCGCAAGCCUGAUCCAGCCAUGCCGCGUGAGUGAUGAAGGCCCAAGGGUUGUAAAGCUCUUUCACCGGUGAAGAUAAUGACGGUAACCGGAGAAGAAGCCCCGGCUAACUUCGUGCCAGCAGCCGCGGUAAUACGAAGGGGGCUAGCGUUGUUCGGAUUUACUGGGCGUAAAGCGCACGUAGGCGGACUAUUAAGUCAGGGGUGAAAUCCCGGGGCUCAACCCCGGAACUGCCUUUGAUACUGGUAGUCUUGAGUUCGAGAGAGGUGAGUGGAAUUCCGAGUGUAGAGGUGAAAUUCGUAGAUAUUCGGAGGAACACCAGUGGCGAAGGCGGCUCACUGGCUCGAUACUGACGCUGAGGUGCGAAAGCGUGGGGAGCAAACAGG